This 371-nucleotide ribosomal RNA is filed under the name uncultured organism. RNAcentral's name for it is "bacterial SSU rRNA". It matches the Rfam family "Bacterial small subunit ribosomal RNA", at positions 526 to 896 of the family's 1533-position model. The record is from RNAcentral.
CGAAGGGGGCUAGCGUUGUUCGGAAUUACUGGGCGUAAAGCGCGCGCAGGCGGUUCGAUAAGUUGGGGGUGAAAUCCCCGGGCUCAACCCGGGAAUGGCCUUCAAGACUGUCGAGCUAGAGGACGAGAGAGGUGAGUGGAAUUCCCAGUGUAGAGGUGAAAUUCGUAGAUAUUGGGAAGAACACCGGUGGCGAAGGCGGCUCACUGGCUCGUUUCUGACGCUGAGGCGCGAAAGCGUGGGGAGCAAACAGGAUUAGAUACCCUGGUAGUCCACGCCGUAAACGAUGAGUGCCAGGUGUCGGGGGACUUAGUCCUUCGGCGCCGCAGCUAACGCCUUAAGCACUCCGCCUGGGGAGUACGGCCGCAAGGUUA